This is a long non-coding RNA of Girardinichthys multiradiatus, 1600 nucleotides long. RefSeq lists it as uncharacterized. Lineage: Eukaryota; Metazoa; Chordata; Actinopteri; Cyprinodontiformes; Goodeidae. The transcript is spliced from 4 exons. The record is from RefSeq and is a predicted model, not a curated record.
GGCUUUGCUGGCUACUUAGUUUCCAUCAUUUCAGCGGCUGUUUCCCAGCGCCGCACCGAGCUGCAUAUUGACGUCCAGAAGUGACGUUAAGGCGACGGAAAUGCGCAACCGUGGCCUGAAACCUUUAUUUUGAAAACAGUGGGUCGCAAGGAAGCUGGUGCCUAUCUCCUGCAGUCUAUAGGCGGGAGGCGAGGUACACCCUGGACAAGUUGCCAGUCCAUCGCAGGGAAACACACGAACAGCCUUGCACACACUCAUUCACAGGCGAACUUUUCCUGCACACGACCAUUCCCGGAAGAGCUUGAUCCCACGGAUCCCUCUGACCACCAUCAGCAGGCAUGGCGGGUGAAGUGUCUUGCCCCAGGACACAAUGACUGAGGCGGACGGAACGGAGAUUUGAACUGGCAACAGGACAAACCCCUACCACCUGAGCCACCGUCACCCCAAACAAAUAAGAUGACCAUUGAAACUCUUUUGUACUUCGACUUUUGUACUAAUUUCCCCAAGAUUUUCCUGCUCUCCCUUGCCCACAUCCGAUACCUCACUGGCUUCUGAUUUCUGGACACGACCUUGCUUCUGCCUCCUGACCAACCCUCCCUGCCUAACCCCUGGAUCUGUCAGUCUGAAUCUGCCUUCCCAUGCAUAACUUUGUUUCUGUACCCUGGACCCAGAUUCAAGCUUCUCCCUCGGAAUCCGUUGCCCUUAUCUGCUCUCACGGCUCUGACCCAGUUUCUGUUUCCUGGUCACCACAAUCUGCUCAGUCACUGGGCUUGUAAACCCAAGUAUCUGUGGGACACUUCACAGCUGUUGCCCUGUCAACACUCUGAGGAUCCGAAAAUCAGCUUCCUGGUUCCCUUACGGAUUCUGAGAAGUUCACUACCUGAGGGAAGCUUGGCAGAAGGACCUCAUCACUGAUCAUCAAUGAACCAAGGCCCCAGGAUAAUGUUCAUUCUUCCUCAAGCUACGCUCAACACAGACUACUGCAGUUCAAAGUCCUACAUAGACUACAUUUAUCCAAGCAAUGGCUUUCCAACAUGUUGCCUGGGACAGACUUGUCCUGUGAUCAGUGUGGCCAGGGACCAACCAGCCUUAUUGGCUGAUACGUUUUGGAGUUGUUCAAAUAUAUUUACGUUUUGGACAAAGAUAUUUCAGAUGUUGUCUCAGGUUUGCCAUACAUAUUUAAGUUCAGACCCAAUUUCUGCAUAUCUGGUGUUGCUCCUGUUACGGCCAACUGCUUGAAUAAACAGAAAACAAUAUUAGCAUUUGUGACACUUCUAGUCAGGAGGCUUAUUUUGUUACAUUGGAAACAAAAAAACCCACCAUCCUAUUUUAACCUGUUAGAGGAAACAAUAUAACAUGUCCUAUUAGGAAAAAUAAAAUUUGAGUUGAAAGGCAAAAUGGGUACUUUCUAUGUUAUGUGGCAACUUUUAUUGACUAUUUUAACAAGUAAAAACACAUGAAUGUCCAAAUAUGUGACCCGUCCUGCCCCCUACUCCCAUUCUUAUGUUCUCUUUUCUAUGUUUGCCUAUUUGUUUUACUGCGGUUUGUUUGUAUGCUUUCAAAAAAGACUCAAUAAAGAGAAUAAAAAAAAAUAAAAAAA